Molecule: ribosomal RNA, 254 nt
Filed under: uncultured bacterium
Lineage: Bacteria
Description: partial 16S ribosomal RNA
Rfam family: Bacterial small subunit ribosomal RNA
Source: RNAcentral
UACGGAGGGUGCAAGCGUUAUCCGGAUUCACUGGGUUUAAAGGGUGCGCAGGCGGGAGAGUAAGUCAGAGGUGAAAUCUCACAGCUUAACUGUGAAACUGCCUUUGAUACUGCUUUUCUUGAGUUCGGGAGAGGUUGAUGGAAUUCCCGGUGUAGUGGUGAAAUGCGUAGAUAUCGGGAGGAACACCAGUGGCGAAGGCGACUACCUGGCCUGUUCUUGACGCUGAGGCGCGAAAGCUAGGGGAGCAAACGGGG